RNAcentral lists this ribosomal RNA (750 nucleotides) under uncultured bacterium. RNAcentral describes it as "bacterial SSU rRNA". It matches the Rfam family "Bacterial small subunit ribosomal RNA", at positions 43 to 783 of the family's 1533-position model. The record is from RNAcentral.
CAGGCCUAACACAUGCAAGUCGAGCGGACUUAUCCUUCGGGAUAGGUUAGCGGCGGACGGGUGAGUAACACGUAGGCAACCUGCCUGUAAGAUCGGGAUAACUACCGGAAACGGUAGCUAAGACCGGAUAGCUGGUUUCUCCGCAUGGGGGAAUCAUGAAACAUGGGGCAACCUAUGGCUUACGGAUGGGCCUGCGGCGCAUUAGCUAGUUGGUGGGGUAAUGGCCCACCAAGGCGACGAUGAGUAGCCGACCUGAGAGGGUGAUCGGCCACACUGGGACUGAGACACGGCCCAGACUCCUACGGGAGGCAGCAGUAGGGAAUCUUCCGCAAUGGGCGCAAGCCUGACGGAGCAACGCCGCGUGAGUGAUGAAGGUUUUCGGAUCGUAAAGCUCUGUUGCCAAGGAAGAACGCCUCGGAGAGUAACUGCUCUGAGGGUGACGGUACUUGAGAAGAAAGCCCCGGCUAACUACGUGCCUGCAGCCGCGGUAAUACGUAGGGGGCAAGCGUUGUCCGGAAUUAUUGGGCGUAAAGCGCGCGCAGGCGGUCUUUUAAGUUUGGUGUUUAAGCCCGGGGCUCAACCCCGGUUCGCACUGAAAACUGGGAGACUUGAGUGCAGGAGAGGAAAGCGGAAUUCCACGUGUAGCGGUGAAAUGCGUAGGGAUGUGGAGGAACACCAGUGGCGAAGGCGGCUUUCUGGACUGUAACUGACGCUGAGGCGCGAAAGCGUGGGGAGCAAACAGGAUUAGAU